UAAUACGAAGGUGGCGAAUGUUGCUCGGAUUCACUGGGCGUAAAGCGUCGGUAGGAGGCUUGUUAAGUCAGGUGUGAAAGCCCCGCGCUCAACGUGGGAAUUGCACUUGAAACUAACUGGCUUGAAGGUAUGAGAGGAUAGCGGAAUAACUGGUGUAGAGGUAAAAUUCAUAGAUAUCAGUUGGAACACCCAUGGCGAAGGCAGCUAUCUGGCAUAUUCUUGACUCUGAGCGACGACAGCGUGGGGAGCAAACAGGAUUAGAUACCCUGGUAGUCCACGCCGUAAACGAUGCAUGCUCGCUGUCGGGUUCGCUACAGAACUCGGUGGCUUAGCUAACGCGGUAAGCAUGCCGCCUGGGGAUUACGGCCGCAAGGUUA
This 377-nucleotide ribosomal RNA is filed under the name uncultured bacterium. RNAcentral describes it as "bacterial SSU rRNA". It matches the Rfam family "Bacterial small subunit ribosomal RNA", at positions 521 to 896 of the family's 1533-position model. The record is from RNAcentral.